GCCCCCAUAGCUUAACGGAUAAAGUAUCUGUCUUCGGAACAGAUGAUGUGGGUUCGAUUCCUGCUGGGGGCACCA
Molecule: transfer RNA, 75 nt
Filed under: Candidatus Zambryskibacteria bacterium RIFCSPHIGHO2_01_FULL_46_30
Lineage: Bacteria; Candidatus Zambryskiibacteriota
Also listed under: 1 other name
Description: tRNA-Arg
Rfam family: tRNA
About the family: Transfer RNA (tRNA) molecules are approximately 80 nucleotides in length. Their secondary structure includes four short double-helical elements and three loops (D, anti-codon, and T loops). Further hydrogen bonds mediate the characteristic L-shaped molecular structure. tRNAs have two regions of fundamental functional importance: the anti-codon, which is responsible for specific mRNA codon recognition, and the 3' end, to which the tRNAs corresponding amino acid is attached (by aminoacyl-tRNA synthetases). tRNAs cope with the degeneracy of the genetic code in two manners: having more than one tRNA (with a specific anti-codon) for a particular amino acid; and 'wobble' base-pairing, i.e. permitting non-standard base-pairing at the 3rd anti-codon position.
Source: RNAcentral